UGACUUGGCUACAGCUCAUCUUGCUUGC
This 28-nucleotide non-coding RNA is filed under the name Mus musculus (house mouse). The record is from RNAcentral. Lineage: Eukaryota; Metazoa; Chordata; Mammalia; Rodentia; Muridae.